RNAcentral lists this ribosomal RNA (305 nucleotides) under uncultured bacterium. RNAcentral describes it as "bacterial SSU rRNA". It matches the Rfam family "Bacterial small subunit ribosomal RNA", at positions 333 to 655 of the family's 1533-position model. The record is from RNAcentral.
UGUACCCUACGGGACGCAGCAGUGGGGAAUAUUGCACAAUGGGGGAAACCCUGAUGCAGCGACGCCGCGUGAGCGAUGAAGUAUUUCGGUAUGUAAAGCUCUAUCAGCAGGGAAGAAAAUGACGGUACCUGACUAAGAAGCCCCGGCUAACUACGUGCCAGCAGCCGCGGUAAUACGUAGGGGGCAAGCGUUAUCCGGAUUUACUGGGUGUAAAGGGAGCGUAGACGGCUGUGCAAGCCAGAUGUGAAAGGUGCGGGCACAACCCGCAGACUGCACUGGUAACUGCCUGGCUGGAGGGCCGGAGG